UACGAGGGGGGGCGAGCGUUGUUCGGAAUUAUUGGGCGUAAAGGGUGCGUAGGCGGUUCCGCAAGUCCUGUGUGAAAUCUUCGGGCUCAACUCGAAGUCUGCACGGGAAACUGCGGGGCUUGAGUGUGGGAGAGGUGAGUGGAAUUCCCGGUGUAGCGGUGAAAUGCGUAGAUAUCGGGAAGGAACACCUGUGGCGAAAGCGGCUCACUGGACCAUAACUGA
This 222-nucleotide ribosomal RNA is filed under the name uncultured bacterium. Its description in RNAcentral is "partial 16S ribosomal RNA". It matches the Rfam family "Bacterial small subunit ribosomal RNA", at positions 524 to 743 of the family's 1533-position model. The record is from RNAcentral.